Molecule: non-coding RNA, 854 nt
Organism: Pimephales promelas (fathead minnow)
Lineage: Eukaryota; Metazoa; Chordata; Actinopteri; Cypriniformes; Leuciscidae
Source: the annotation of a RefSeq genome assembly
AGGGACUCAAAGUUCACAGAUCUGACAUGAUCUCAUCCUGUCUGAAAGAGACUGUGGAUGAAACGAUUCAGUCUGACUCUUCUCGCAGUGAACACUUGAACAAUGAAUCUUCUGUCAGUUAUUUUGUUCUAUGCUUCAGCUGCUGCUGUAUUUGGAAAUGUCAUCAAACCAAACAAAACCGAUGUUUUUGCUCAGGAGGGCUCAAGUGUUACAUUAUCCUGUAGUUUUACUGCCUCUGGAGGGUCAGAUUAUCUCCACUGGUAUCGUCAGUAUGGAAGAUCAAAACCUGAAUUUCUUGUACUCACCUAUGGAAAUGCAAAAGAAGCUCAGGUAUCUGCUGUAGAUCCAAGAUUCACUGUUGAAAUUGAAAAAAAGGAACAAAUCCAUGUGUAUCUGGAGAUCUCCUCUGCUACAGUAUCAGACUCUGCUGUGUAUUACUGUGCUCUGGUGCCCACAAUGACAGGAAACACAUCAGCUCUAUACAAAAACCUGUUAUAUGAGAGAAACACAGGUAUAGUGAAAAUGAAGCUUGUAUUCAAAUAUGUAAUUAAUCUAAUGCAAAACAAUCCAAAUAUAAAAGCCACACUUGUGGCAGUAUGAAAUAUAUAUUAGAUUGAAUACCAAUAUAUUAUUUUAGUUCGCCAGUCUCUUUAGAAUAUCUUGUAUUUCAGAAAACAAAUAUCUUUAUACAUUAAACUCGAUGAAAUGGCAGUGUUUCCGCUAAGCAAAACCCACAAUUAACCAUAAGAGGACAGUAGUUAGUCAAUAUUACCUUUGACAUAGGCUACAGCUCACCUAAAUGAUUAGGAACACCUGUUCAGUUUCUCAUUAAUGCAAUUAUCUUAUAAACCAAU